This is an RNA transcript of Leucoraja erinaceus (little skate), 7159 nucleotides long. It is a transcript of the gene named leucine-rich repeat flightless-interacting protein 2-like, with no coding region annotated. The transcript is spliced from 2 exons. Lineage: Eukaryota; Metazoa; Chordata; Chondrichthyes; Rajiformes; Rajidae. The record is from RefSeq and is a predicted model, not a curated record.
UCCUGAAGAGGAAGAUGAUGAAAUCAAAUGUUCCAAGAUUGAAGAAAAGGAUGAGUCCAAAACCAUCAAAGAAGUAAAUGAUGAUGCCAUAGGUGAAGAGGAGGUUGAAGUCAUAAACCCCAUUGAAGAAAACAAUGAAGUCAAUAUCCCCCAGAGGCGACGGAGAAGAGGUUAAAAGUACCAGAGAAGGAGAUAAUAGUGUCAAAGGCAUAGAGGGGAACAAAGUCAAAAACUCCAGAGUUGAGGAAGAGAUUGAGAUCAGAAGUCCCAAAGAAGAUGAUGAAGUCAAAGAUGAAGAGGGGAAUGAGAUCAAGAGUCCCCGAGACAAGGACGAUGAGGUUGGAGAUGAAGAAGAAGAUGAUGUCAAAAGCUACAAAGAAGAUGAUGAAGUCAAAGAUGAAAAGGUGCAUGAGGUCAAAAUUCCCAGAGAAACGCAAGAUGAGGUUGAUGAAGAGGAAGUUGAGGUCAAAGGUUCCAAAGAAGAUGAUAACGUCAAAGAUGAAGAGAGGGAUGAGGUCAAGAGUCCCAGAGAAGAGUACAAAGUGGUCGGAGAUGAAGAAGAAGAGGUCAAAAGCACCAAAAAAGAAAAUAUUCAGGCCAAAGAUGAUGAGGGAGAUGAAGUCACCAGCCCUGGGAGAGAGGUACAGGAUGUUGUCAGAAAAGAUGUGGUUGGUAUUGAAGACCCCAGAGCAGAAGACAAAGUCAGACAUGAAAAAAGGAAUGUGGUCAUUAGUUCUAAUGUUGAAGUAAAGGAACCCACAGAAAAAGAGAAGGAUGAAGUUAAGGGCCCCAGAGAAGAAGGUGGGAAGGUAAAAAAUAGAGAAGGGAAUAUUAUCAUUGACCCCAAGGAUGAGGAUGCAGAUGAGGUAAAAGGUUCUGUUGUAGCAGAUGAUUCGAGUAUGGAUGAAGAUGGGAUCAAAGGCUCUAGAGGAGAUGAGGAGGAUGUUCCCAGAGGAGAGGAAGAAGGCAAUUUUAAAGGGUCCAUAGAAGAGGAGGAGGAGGAGGAGGAGGAGGGGGAUAUGAUCAAAAGCCCCAGAGAUUUGAAUGAUGAGCUCGAAGGCCCCAUAGAAGAUGUCAUAAGAGGAGAGGAAGAGCUUGACCUCAAAGACCCUGAAAAUAAAGAGAAGAAAAUGGUCAAGACUGGACAAAAAAGUGAAGAACAACAUGGCACAGACAGUCUAGGAAAAGAGCAGAGAAAGGAGAAUGAAGUAUGUACAGUUGAAAAGUCAGAAGAAACAAAGGUUACUGAUCUGACAAAAAAGGAAAAUCUGGGUGAAAUCGUGGAUGACAAAACUGUGUGGCAUUUAAAGGGCCAAGUUCAUGAGAGCAGCAAAACCAAUCAAUUGCAGAGUAAGAGCUUUGAAGAAAUAUAUGAAGGCAAACCAGAGAGUAAUUUCAAGAGUGUUCACAAGGCAAUGGAUAACAAAAUUGAACAAGAGAUGGUGAGAGAGGUGACGACUGGAAUAACUGAAGAACCAACAGCACUAGAGCACCUGCAAGUUGGGGGUGAGAAAGAAAGGAAGCAAAUACUGGGUACCAAUAGUUGUAAUAAAACAUUUGGGGAUAAUACCCAGACGUCAAAAAGGGUCGAUAGCAGUUCCGAAGAAAAGGAUGAAAAAGCAAGGUGUGAAUUAAAUGAAGAACAAAAUGAACUAGCAGAAGGUGGGGAGCAGGAUUCAUCAAUAGGUAGAGUGUCAUUGGGGGAAGUUACUAAUCAAAGAAUUCAAGAUGGUGAAAAAGUGGAUCUUGUAACGAGUGAAAGAGAUAGUUCUGGGGCCAACAAAGAACAAAAGAUACAGGACUCUGAGACAAUUAAAACAAGGAUAGAAGGCACAACAAAUAUUCAGAGUGGUAUUGUAGAACAAGAGGUCAGAGGCAAAGAUGAGGAUUCUGAGAAAGGGGAUCCGUUUGAGUGGGAUAAAGAGACAAAUGAAAUGUUGCAAGGUGAAAUUCGAGAUGAUGAGGCACCUAAGAGUGAGGAGAAAGGGGAAAAGACAUCUGCUGAAAGUGCUGCUGAACCCAAGUCCAGUGAGAAUCUAAAAGCUAAUACUGAUUGUAAUAGGAAUGCAGAGUAUGAUGAGCAGAAGUGCCAGCAUAGGAACAAUAGUUCAAGACAAUCCAGUUAUGGUGAGGACCAGCCUCAGAGUGAGAGUCAGAAGGGUAUGUCCAACAUAAGUGGACCAGAAGGAAAUAUGAAGGCAGAUGAAGAAAUGGGGCUUUCUGAGACAGCAAAGGAUAGUAAGAGAAAAAGCAAAAGUAAAGAUGAGUGUUCAUUAUCAUGAGAUAUAUUAGAAGUCAGUAGAUUUCACUAUAGAAUCAUACUGUAAUAAAUCACUUUAUCAGAAUUGUUAUUUUAAUAUAAAUUUGUAUAUUUGUCAUUUAUGAUGAAGUUUAAUUUUGCCCUGAGCUGUUAUUUGCACUAUAUUCUGAGGCUUGCUCUGUCCUGCUUCACCAGCACCCAGCUUCUCUAGCCUUUGGCUACCUGCACAUCUUGCCUGUACAAUCAGUUUCCCAUUAUGUGCACGGUCUUUGUGAGCAGAUCAAGGUAAACCUUGCACUUUCCUCAGAUCACAAUUGGCUACCUGUCUUAAACUGAUCAUCGUGCUGCCAUGUAGCCACAAUUUCAUGGUGCAAUAUGAAGAUCAAGGGCAUGAUUGUUCCAUUAGUGCUGAGCAAUGAUACAAUGAAUACUUGCUGCUCAAUGAAGUAUUUUGAAUGCAAAAUCAAUAUGAAUUGUCAGUACACGAUAAAGAUUGGAGGGAUCCAGGUUAUUUUUCUUUUUCAAACCUAGAGCAGUUGGAAAGGGGCUGCAACUGGGUCACAACAUGCCAGAAUUAGGCUACGCAAAUCAGACAGAUUCCUCACCCUGACUAGUAUUCAAUGACUCUCUUAAGGUUCUUGCUCCUGAUCACUCUCUAAUAACUACUGCGUAGUGACCUGGUAGGGUUUCUGUCUCUGAUCAAUGUCCAGAACAGGUAAGUUUGCUAGAGAUGUUCUGAACACUGUGUAGUGACUCUUGGGUUAGAGAGAGACUCUUUAUGAUACAAUAUUGCUGCCUGUCUACUUAACUGCAUGUGAUGAUUUGUGGCUGCUAUUCCUCUGCUUUUUGUUUGAACAUUCCCUGAAAAAUAUCACCUCAUUUAUAUAUUCAAUUUUGCUGUGAAAUUAGGAAGAUAGACACACGGCUCAUAGAAACCCUGAACAGCUGCUUAAAAUUAAAUGAAGCACAGAUUGCAUCAGAAACUACGUGAAUUCUUAUUGUUGUGCCUUGAAUACAUAUCUUGGAGAGUUGAAAAGUCAUGGUGUACUGGCUACUGUGUCUAGCCUAAUGUUACAGUUUUCAUAUUGAUUAAUGUCAUUAACAGUCUUAAAAUAAGCACAUUGCAUAAAUGAGGCACUGUGACACAGCUGGAAUCUGAAUAAAAAGUCACAAUAUGAAUAUUUUGAUCAAUCUCUUCUGAGUUUAGAGUCAUUCUGUAUUUUAUGUUUUAAGUUGAACUGUGACUGCCAAUCAAUGUGUGAGAAAGGUUUUGGGCGUAGACUAUUCCUGAGUACAUGCCUAUAUGGAUUUACCGUUUCAUAGUGGCAAUAUAGAAUAAUAAAACUGUCAAUAAAAAUUAAGCUGGUUGCUGCAGGCCAUUCAAUUGACCAUUUUAUCCAUGGUAUAUGUGAGGAGGAGAUGGGGAAUGGAUUCAUCAGUUUCAUUGCCCCUUUAUUUGCGAAGAAAUAUGAUUAGUAUGCAGGAAAUGAAAAAUGUCUCGGUGCAGGUGGGUGGUAUGUUGCACAUAUCUUGCUAUGUGCCAAGACCUUUUGUGUCAUGUGUCUGUAUGAGUUUAGAUAUCUGUUAUGUACCUGCUUUAAGUUACCAGCCUCACGCUGGUCUCCACCUUCAUCAAUAUCUCUUGAUUUGAGAGUAAUAAUUCAAUUUACUCUACUAAGCUCUUAUCUUCCCCCAAAUGGCAAUUCAACAUUGCUGAAAAGUGGUGUCCAUAAUGGCUGAGCACAGGAUUAAGUUUGUUGUAAACCUUUGCCGGUCACAUGUUGUCCUCUGCUUACCUUUGGGUCUUGCACUCGAUGAUUGAGUAUUCAGGAAGGUUUCAAGAAACCAACCAAUAACUGUGGGUCUGCUUUCAAACGGUUGAAGUCUCCAAGAGUACUAAGGGUAACAAGAAUGAAAAACAUGCUUAAGUAUGGGACGGAUUGCAGGUUGAGCUAAAGGAUCUCUGCUUAGGAGGAUAGUUAAUAAUUAUCAUUAGGGAGUUGACACAAACCUCCUGAACCAAAGGUAGGGUAAGGGGAGAACCUGCUUUCACAUGGUUCAUGCCACUAAAUUGAAUUUGCAUUUUGACUCUUAUGUUUAGUAGAAAUAGAUAGUGAAACUGGGAGCAGAAGUAAGCCAUUCAGCCCACAGAGCCUGCUCUAAUCAUGUAACACCUUCUCUGUUUAGGGUAAUCCACAUGUUAUUCAUCUUUCAAAUACUUUUUUUCUGUCACUGUUAAAAGUUCAGGUUUACCGGGUUAAAACUCUAAUUUGUAAAGUGAGAAUAGAAUAUUGGGCAAUGGGUGAGCAAUCCACUUACCCUCUUCCCACCCCAUUUUAGUGCUCUCACAUGGAUGGAUUGGAGUGCCCCCACACCCCACCCUGAACCCCGCCACUUAUGUACAUCAUGUUCCUGACUUAAGAUCAUAAGGAAUAGGAGUAGAAUUAGGCCAUUCGGCCCAUCAAGUCUACUCCACCAUUCAAUCAUGGCUGAUCGUUCUCUCCCUCCUAACCCCAUUCUCAUGCCUUCUCCCCAUAACCUCUGACACCUAUACUAAUCAAGAAUCUAUCUCUGCCUUAAAAAUAUCCACUGACUUGGCUCCCACAGCCUUCUGUAGCAAAGAAUUCCACAGAUUCACCACCCUCUGACUAAAGAAAUUUCUCCUAAUUUCCUUCCUAAAGCAACGUCCUUUAAUUCUGAGGCUAUGACCUCUAGUCCAAGACUCCCCCACUAGUGGAAACAUCCUCUCCAUAUCCACUUUAUCUAAGCCUUUCACUAUUCUGUAUAUUUCAAUGAGUGAGUACAGGCCCAAUGCCGACAAACGCUCAUCAUAGAUUAACCUACUCAUUCCUGGGAUCAUUCUUGUAAACCUCCUCUGGACCCUCUCCAGAGCCAGCACAUCUUUCCUCAGAUAUGGUGCCCUAAAUUGCUCACAAUAUUCUAAAUGCGGCCUUCAGCACCUUAUAGAGCCUCAACAUUACAUCCCUGUUUGUGUACACAAGCCCUCUUGAAAUAAAUGCUAACAUUGAGUUUGCUUUCUUUACUACUGAUUUAUUAGUAUCGGCAACAAAUCGGUAACAUUGUAAAUGUUUCCAUUCGCCUGCAAGCUCCAUCAGAAAGGAGCUGCCAAUGCAUUCAUGGUGUCGAUCAUGGGAUGAAUACAGAUGUAGCUUUUCAGAUAUUCAGAUAAAUACCUAAGUGUGUGGAUUAAUGACAAACACUGACCUUGUCUCAUUACUAUCGGUAUCACAGACACAGACCUCCACACUACACUGCAUGACAAAAAUCACCAUUGAAUAUAACCCAUUAUAUUAAGGUGAAAUAAUUGGCAGAGAUUUGUCAUUAGUGAGUAGGAUAAAACUAGUGUACUAGUGAUCACUGGUUGGCGCGGAUUCAGUCGGCUGAAGGGCCUGUUUCCAUGCUGUAUCUCUGAACUAAACUAAACAUUGUGGGUGAGGCAAAAUCAGUGAAACAGGUUGGUGUGAGGAAUACAGGCAAACCCUCUACUCUAAAGUACAAAGACUCAGACACUCACCGUACUUUUAAAGUGCAUCAUGGAUUCACUCCCCACAGAAUGGGCUUGUAUUCCUGAGAGUAGCCAGAAGGUAACACACUGGACUAAAGUUGCUCAGGAACAAGAUGUUAGAAAUUUGCAUUCCAGCAUAUGUUUUCCUGGUGAUCAUAUUUUUUGUGACAAGUCUAAGUACAGUAAAACUGCAAAUUACUAAAUUUCUGGCACUCUAGGGACUUUGGCCUGACAUCCUUGGGACUUGGGAGCAAUAUUUCAAUUGGAUAUCCAGUAUCCAAUUUCCUGCAUAAUUGGAUAUAACUCCUAUUAAAACCCCAAGUGACUUUUAUUUCACUUUUUAUCUCAUGUUACACAGCAGUGUAAUACAUUUUCUAGUGAAGCCGGUGAGUUUAAAGGAAGCAGGAAAUUUACAAACACUCAACGCUGGGUCCAGCCACAACCUACCCAGAUUCUUGAUCCAUGGUGUUCUAACACUAACCCUAACUAAACACAUAACCCACAGUAUAGAACCCACCCCCACCCCUGGCUCAUAUUCCAGACUAAUUACUAAAACAUGCCAGACCGUCAGGAUUUCUGAACAAUCACAUCUAGAUUUUUGGUGUUUUACUGUAAGUCUUGUGUAACAUUUGUCUUUCCAUGUAAGUCAUAUCAUUUCCGCAAGUUGUCUGCUCAUUCUCACUAACUGUAAUAAUUGUGUAACUUCUAAAAUAACUAAUUGUAAACUCCUUUUGGAAGAAGUAACCUGUCAAUUGCAAUAGUCCAAUGAAAUUAUAACACACCAAGGGGCACCCUUCACAUACUGUUACCGUGCAAGUUAACCACUAUGCGUGUGUGUGGCUGAUGAAAUGCAUGAAGGCAAUUUGGCAAUUUGUCAUGUUGUCAGGGAGCAAAGCUGCCAAUCCACCAGAUAUUUCUCUCGCUAUCUCUCUAUCAUACACGUGCACACACACCCUGUGUAAUUUCUGAGUCUUUCCUUUGCUAUGUAAUUUGCUCUUUUUUCAUACUGUCAGUUCAAUCUUUCCUUUUCACAGGCUCUCACAUUAUAUGUCUAUGUCUGUCUCUUCCACUGCAUGCCUUUAUUUCUCCCUUUCUCUCUCUUCCUCCCAUUUAUUCAUCUUCCAUUUCUCUCUGGUGUGUUAUAAUAUUUUAUGUAACCCCAAAUUACAAGGAUAAUGAGAUUUUGUGUUCCAGUUCUGUUUGGUCAUAGGGAAAUUGCAUGCUAAACAAAAUGGAAGAUUAGACUGUUUGCAUGCAGCCCGAGGUUCCAGCACUCAUACUGACGUUGAACUAAACCUGGGCUCACCCUUGCUGUGCAUUGUGAUUUUAGGGUGAAUACAUUUAUAGAUGAAAAGGAAGCAUUAUUAGAACAG